RNAcentral lists this ribosomal RNA (301 nucleotides) under uncultured bacterium. RNAcentral describes it as "partial 16S ribosomal RNA". It matches the Rfam family "Bacterial small subunit ribosomal RNA", at positions 509 to 807 of the family's 1533-position model. The record is from RNAcentral.
CAGUCGCCGCGGUAAUGCGUAGGGUGCGAGCGUUAAUCGGAAUUACUGGGCGUAAAGCGUGCGCAGGCGGUUUUGUAAGACAGGCGUGAAAUCCCCGGGCUCAACCUGGGAAUGGCGCUUGUGACUGCAAAGCUAGAGUGCGGCAGAGGGGGAUGGAAUUCCGCGUGUAGCAGUGAAAUGCGUAGAUAUGCGGAGGAACACCGAUGGCGAAGGCAAUCCCCUGGGCCUGCACUGACGCUCAUGCACGAAAGCGUGGGGAGCAAACAGGAUUAGAUACCCCGGUAGUCCCUGUCUCUUAUAC